GCAUUGUUACUGCUGUGGCUCAGGUUCAAUUCCUGGCCCAGGAACUUCUGCAUGUCAUGGGCAUGGCCAAAAAAAAAGUAAUGAUUUGCAUGUUUUCAGGCAAAAUUCAAGGAAUUAUUAGAAUUUCAUUUCCUUACAUUCCACCUGCCAAUAAAGUAUGCUUGCAAACAUUAAAUACUAUAAAACAAACAUAAGAUUUGUCAUCAAAUAACUCUUAUUCUAUGAUCUCAUUAGAAAAUGAUGUUAGAAAAAUCAUAUGGUCAAAAUAAUCAUAUGGUCAAUAACAUUAUUAACUGGCUUUUUCCACUUAAUCAUUGUGAAUAAUUUAUUUUUAUCUUUUUUCUCAUUCUAUAUUUUUGCCAUUUAGCUAGAUUUCCAACAUUAUAUUUUGGUGGGAUUUUUUUCUUUAUUUUAUCAGAAACAAUGAAAUAAAUGUGAGCAUAUAUAUGUGAAUAUCACAAGUUUUUCCAUGAGAUAGGUUCCUAACAUUUGCCAGGAUACUGAAUAUAUACGUGUGUACAUACUUUAAUUGGCACUAAGUUACUCCCACAAAAGUGUUUAAAACAACCUGUUGGCAAAAAUCCUGUGAACACUGGUUAUAAACAGCUGCUAUUUUUACUCUUAAAUGUGAAAUGCCUUAAGUACAUUGUUUGUUAGUACAUUAAAAAAUAAAUAUUAUCCAAUAAUUAUGAAUAAUGCAGGAGAGCCCUGUGGCAAGGUGUGGCCACGUUUCCCUUGAGAACUCCAUUUCUUGCUAAGAAACAGGAUGGACAGAACUCAUUCCAGGGCGAGAAGGCAGAAGGACCCAAGCAAAACAGAAACAAAGACUACCAUUGCAUUAAAUACCACUCUGGCACACAGCUUACUUUACUUUUUACUUUAGCAAAUAGUAAGUGAAAUUGUAGGAAAAAGUGACAGUAUGAAAAAUUUGGAGUUCUGGGAGUUUCCAUUGUGGCUUAGCAGGUUAUGAAUCUGACUAGUAUCCAUGAGGACAUGGGUUUGAUCCCUGGCCUCGCUCAGUAGGUUGAGGAUCUGGCCUUGCUCGGUGACAUGAACUGUGAUGUAGGUCCCAGACUCAGCUCAGAUCUGGCUGAGAGUUCCUAUGACUGUGGUGUAGGCUGGAAGCUGCAGCUCUGCUUUGACCCUUGCCUGGGAACCUCCAUAUGCCACAGGUACAGCCUUAAAAAAACAAAAAAUUGAAGUUCUAAAGUUGGGGUAUGUUAGAAACUUAUGUAACCAGUAACUUUAAAUAAACAACAACAACAAAGAAAAGCCAAUACAAUUUGAGGGGGUUUUUUAAGAAAAUUAUUUAAAAAAAUUAUAUCUGGGGAGUUCCCAUUGUGGUGCAGCAUAAAGGAACCCAACUAGUAUCCAUGGGGAUGUGGGUUUGAUCCCUGGCCUUGUUCAAUGGGUUAAGGAUCUGGUGUUGCCGUGAGCUGUGGUGUAGGUCAUAGAUGCAGCACAGAUCUGGCAUUGUUGUGGCUGUGGUGUAGGCUGGCAGCUGCAGCUCCAAUUUGACCCCUAGCCUGGGAACUUCCAUAUGCCACAAGUGUGGCCCUAAAAAGAAAAAAAAAACGUACCUGUGAGAAUUUAGAUAGUGAGUAGUGAGUACACAGCAAGCUAAAAUUUCGAAAAAUUUGUGCUCCAGUCAGAAAAAAUAAUUUGAUAUUUAAUUCUCUACUUUUGAUGAUUUCCUUUGUUGAAUAAAAGAAAAUGCAUUUGUUUGGGUAGCAUAUUUAAAAUACCGACAUUUAUUUAGUCAUAAGCAUUGACCUCCAAAGUGAGGGUGUGGUAUUAAUCUCUUUCCCUUUUUGGGGAUUCUUGUCUUCUUUUUAAAAUGGAAUAUGAUUAUCUAGAGGCUUAUAUGAAGAAACACAAGUAAAAUUAACCAUAAGAAUCAAAAGUACCACCCCAAAUGGUAGUAUUAGUUCUUUAAAAAAAAAAAAGUCAUGGCGUUUGAUGGCCUCAUAUUUAAAAUUCAGUCCUAAGAUUGGAAAUUCUGGUUUACUAAAUAGGUUAUCUAAAGUUCUAAAUGUGUAAUUUGAAUAGUCAAAUCCCAGAGCCUAUAAAGAGGGCAAAAAAAAAAUCUUGAGAAAGAUCUUAUGUAAAAUUAAUAGGCACAGUAAUCAUUUGUAUUUUCAGAAUGUUACUAGAAACAGAGCACAUCUGAGCCGGCAGCUGCAGCCUGUGGAAGCUUGAGAGAGCCUGGUGGAGCUGAGGGGAAUAUAAAUCACAGCUUGAGAGAGAGACACACACAGCAGAGGCUGGGACACUAAAGACCCAGGCGACUCUAAACAUGGACAGGAAACGCAGUGUUGUUUUUCUCCAUUGGGCCAGAAGGCAGCACAAAUAGUGUGUUUAACAUGUCAUGAUUUCAGAAACACAUUGAUGAUAUGAUUCACUGCCACCAAGAGUCGGCUCCCACAAUCGCACCCAGACCACAUGGACCUGCAAAUGCCUGUUGUAUUGGACAUUCCAAAUGCAAUAACAGAGAAGCUGAUGCUAAUAGAGGUCCCCUUGAUGCUAAGGGAACCAGCAUUUCCAUGCUGGCCGAGGUGCUCCUUUCUCCCUUGCUCUGAGUUCCAUGGGGUCCACAGCAGCAUUUCAAUUGCAAAACACUAAACUCUGGCUUCAGGGUCCUUAAUUGUACUUCUGGAGUCCCUAGAGUCAGCAUUAAUGAAUGUUCUUGCAGUUGCUUCCUGAGUAAGCACACACACACAAGAGCUCUCAUGGCCAUAACCUUGUAGCAAAAAGACCCAGCACCUAAUCUCCCAGGGCUUGGGUCGCCCGUUUGGUCACAGGUGAACUGCUGGUGAGGGUGGGCUCCUCCUGGACUGGGCUGCUGUCUUCCCUAUGGUGCUGCUAUGCUUACAAAGUACACCUGAGGGUUCAGGACCCACUUCAUCCUCCUGGUUUUACAUGACUGUAUUAGGAGGUACUCUGGGCAGGCAUUUGUUUCAUCAGAGAAAACCCACACAACUCAACAGCUUCUUCUUCAACUACUGUCACCAAAAAGUCAUUGUUUUAAGGCAUACUUGAACAUUUGUAAGACCUCCAUCCUCUGUAAAUGUGUCUCUAAUUUCAGAGUUUCAUGUAACACAGGUCACCCAGUAAUUGAGCAACUCAAUGUGAAUAAUAUAGUAAACAUGAAAUGACAUUUUUGUCAAAUAACUCAGUCUCAUGUUGACCAAAAACCUUUACUCAGUGACAGAAGUGCUGGGUGGGAUUCUUUAAAUAAAAUGAUAUGCUUUAAAAACACACAAAAACCC
RNAcentral lists this long non-coding RNA (3269 nucleotides) under Sus scrofa (pig). RNAcentral's name for it is "lncRNA (ENSSSCG00000061786.1)". The record is from RNAcentral. Lineage: Eukaryota; Metazoa; Chordata; Mammalia; Artiodactyla; Suidae.